UGAAACUGUUUCCUGAGUAAAAGAAGAAAGAUGUGCCCAUGAAGGCCCUGAGUCAGGGCUGCCACGAAAGUGAGAGGGUGAUCAAUACGAAAUACUGUGGCUAAUGUUGCAGGCAGAAUUUGAUGAAGAGGAUAGUGAACAUCAAAAGGUAUACUGGAUGGAAUGCAAAGUUGUGAUUCAGAGAGCAAGGAGUGGAGGAUUAGGAAGUGUUUGAUUAGAAACAGCUCAAGGGGAUUGCCUGGAAAGUCUCAGUCUGUCUGUCUGUCUGUCUGUCUGUCUGUCUGUCUCUCUCUCUCUCUCUCUCUGUGGUGUGUGUGUGUGUGUGUGUGUGUGUGUGUGUGUGUGUGUGUGUGUGUGUGCACACUAAAGAAAAUACGAGAUAAAAGGGGC
RNAcentral lists this long non-coding RNA (390 nucleotides) under Rattus norvegicus (Norway rat). Its description in RNAcentral is "long non-coding RNA NONRATT030430". The record is from RNAcentral. Lineage: Eukaryota; Metazoa; Chordata; Mammalia; Rodentia; Muridae.